Schistosoma mansoni is the source of this 45-nucleotide non-coding RNA. Lineage: Eukaryota; Metazoa; Platyhelminthes; Trematoda; Strigeidida; Schistosomatidae. The record is from Rfam.
AUCCAACUAACGAGUCCCAAAUUGGACGAGACGUGCGUCGUGGAU